Molecule: long non-coding RNA, 709 nt
Organism: Homo sapiens (human)
Lineage: Eukaryota; Metazoa; Chordata; Mammalia; Primates; Hominidae
Source: Ensembl
UCCUCGUUAGAUUGUUUCUGUAUAAAACAGGUUUAUAUAUGAAUACAUACAUUAAAGUAAUAUAUACAAGAUAUAUUCUAAAGUUGUUUAAAAAUGAUUGUCUUUGGGGGUUAGAUUUAGAGAUCAUUUUCAUUUGUUGGCUUUGAAGGGCAACUGACCAACUUUUUUAUACAUAAAGGAUAUAAACUACAACUAUUUUCCCACUCUGUGUAGAAUGUGGAACGGAAACAGUGUGUGGCACACUUUAAAUGAUGCUAAACUUCUACAGUGUGUAAACUGGCUUGUUCAAGAGGCCAAAGUGCUUCUGUUGAGAAACACUGAUGACCAAUCUCCUCUUUGUGGUCCUGUGAUACUGUGAAAUAUAUAUUUGAUCUUCCUCCCUGUUUCCCAGCAUACAAUUCCUAAAACCCUCAGAAUCUGCAAAAUAAGAUUUUUUUUUAAUGCUAAUGAUUGACUGAUGGCUGGAGGCUCCUAGAGAGCCUCAGGAUUGGGGCUGAUUCUCAGGGCUUUCAGUGCCACCUCCCAACCUCUGAGAAAAAGAGAGAGAGAGAGAGGCCAGGAGUUCGAGACCAGCCUGACAAAAAAUGGUGAAACACCCUCUCUACUAAAAUACAAAAAAUUAGCCAGGCAUGGUGGCACAUGCCUGUAAUCUCAGCAACUCGGGAGGCUGAGGAAGAAGAAUCACUUAAACCUGGGAGGCAGGUUCAAU